Molecule: long non-coding RNA, 243 nt
Filed under: Elaeis guineensis (African oil palm)
Lineage: Eukaryota; Viridiplantae; Streptophyta; Magnoliopsida; Arecales; Arecaceae
Description: long non-coding RNA (EGUI_LNC026713)
Source: RNAcentral
GUAGAUCCCACUUCUUAGGUCUGCACCUAAAACAUAUAUUCAAUGCAUGCAUCGAAGACAGGGAUGCCAUCCAUAUUCAUUUACUUAUAGAGUGUAGUUCAAGUCUGCCAUACAAUUGGGGCAAAAAGAACAGAAGAGUUUCCAAUAUACCUUAAUAUUGUACGGCUGCAAAUCAUAAGAUUUCUAUUCAUGCUUGAAAUUAUAUCAGGGUGGAGAGUCCGCAGAAUUGACAUUAAGGGUGGG